RNAcentral lists this ribosomal RNA (253 nucleotides) under uncultured bacterium. RNAcentral describes it as "partial 16S ribosomal RNA". It matches the Rfam family "Bacterial small subunit ribosomal RNA", at positions 524 to 776 of the family's 1533-position model. The record is from RNAcentral.
UACGUAGGGUGCGAGCGUUAAUCGGAAUUACUGGGCGUAAAGUGUGCGCAGGUGGCUGAGCAAGUCGAGUGUGAAAUCCCCGGGCUUAACUUGGGAAUUGCGCUCGAAACUACUUGGCUCGAGUGUGGCAGAGGAAGGUGGAAUUCCAGGUGUAGCGGUGAAAUGCGUAGAUAUCGGGAGGAACACCAGUGGCGAAGGCGGCUUCCUGGCCUGUUCUUGACGCUGAGGCGCGAAAGCUAGGGGAGCAAACGGG